This 253-nucleotide ribosomal RNA is filed under the name uncultured bacterium. Its description in RNAcentral is "partial 16S ribosomal RNA". It matches the Rfam family "Bacterial small subunit ribosomal RNA", at positions 524 to 776 of the family's 1533-position model. The record is from RNAcentral.
UACGGGGGGGGCAAGCGUUGUUCGGAAUUACUGGGCGUAAAGGGCUCGUAGGCGGUUUGUCGCGUCGGGAGUGAAAACCCAGGGCUUAACCCUGGGCUGGCUUCCGAUACGGGCAGACUAGAGGUAUGCAGGGGAGAACGGAAUUCCUGGUGUAGCGGUGAAAUGCGUAGAUAUCGGAAGGAACACCGGUGGCGAAAGCGGCGCGCUGGACCUCUUCUGACGCUGAGGCGCGAAAGCCAGGGGAGCGAACGGG